Molecule: transfer RNA, 66 nt
Filed under: Arctopsyche sp. XG-2022
Lineage: Eukaryota; Metazoa; Arthropoda; Insecta; Trichoptera; Hydropsychidae
Description: tRNA-Tyr
Source: RNAcentral
AAUAAAAUGACUGAUAAAAGUGGUAAAUUGUAAAUUUAUUUAUGAAUAGAAAUUAUUCUUUUAUUA